This 394-nucleotide ribosomal RNA is filed under the name uncultured bacterium. RNAcentral's name for it is "partial 16S ribosomal RNA". It matches the Rfam family "Bacterial small subunit ribosomal RNA", at positions 338 to 729 of the family's 1533-position model. The record is from RNAcentral.
CCUACGGGUGGCAGCAGUGAGGAAUAUUGGUCAAUGGACGCAAGCCUGAACCAGCCAUGCCGCGUGCAGGAAGACGGCCCUAUGAGUUGUAAACUGCUUUUGUACGGGAGUAAACGGACGUACGCUUACUGAUAUGCAAGUACCAUAUGAAUAAGGAUCGGCUAACUCCGUGCCAGCAGCCGCGGUAAUACGGAGGAUUCAAGCGUUAUCCGGAUUUAUUGGGGUUAAAGGGUGCGUAGGCGGUCGGAUAGGUCAGAGGUGAAAGCCCGCGGCUCAACCUCGGAAUUGGCGCUGAUACUGUUCGGCUAGAGAGCAGUAGCGGUAGGCGGAAUGUAUGGUGUAGCGGUGAAAUGCGUAGAUAUCAUGAAGAACACCGAUUGCGAAGGCAGCCUGC